This 5561-nucleotide transfer RNA is filed under the name Salmo trutta (river trout). RNAcentral's name for it is "lncRNA (ENSSTUG00000031929.1)". Lineage: Eukaryota; Metazoa; Chordata; Actinopteri; Salmoniformes; Salmonidae. The record is from RNAcentral.
AUGUGGAGCUAUUUUAAGCCUUUGUUGUUUUUUCUAAUGAUUCCCCUCACCUCUAGUGCAACAGCUACAGGUACAGUGAGAAGAGUCUCAGUGCCUGAGGAGCAUCGCCUGUACCUGGCCUGCAGUGGCACUGUUGACUUACAGUGGCGACACCAGGUCAACAGGAUCAUAGUCACCAAACAAGGCCAGUCGGUUAAUUACAUGAACCAACAGAAAUAUGACCUCCGGCCUGAUGGAUCUCUGGUUAUUAAAGAGCUGGAGACAUCCGACUCUGGGAACUACCACUGCAACGACCAGCUAGUGGCAGACGUGGAGGUACUGAAAGGCAAAAACUUUGAGGUUUCUGCUGGCCGAGCCCUAUUGCUUCCCUGUACAGUAUCUAGCAAAGCCAAGCAGAGGUGGUACUUCAGGAAAGAUAGUCAUGUGAAACGAGAACCCAUCUCGACUCUGUUCAAAAAUGGGACCGUGAAAAUGGAGAAAAAGGACCCCCAGAAAAGGUUUUCUUAUGAUGAAGAUGGUGCCCUGCAGAUCCUCAAUCUGCAGCCAGGGGACUCUGGAGAGUACCUGUGUAAUGGGGAAAAGGUAGCCAAAGUAACGGUGUUGACAGAUCAUCUCAACAUCCAGAGUACCACUGCUCUUAUGCAAACAGAUGUUGUUGGGAGAGAGAACAGAGAGACACGCCCUAUAAAUGUUGUGAUGAUAAUAGCUGUCAUUGGACUAUGCAUUGUGGUGCUUCUGGCUGGUCUGCUGUGCAAUUUGCUGAAAGGAAGACUGAGAAAAAGAAUAAAGAAAUGCAGUACAGUGACAGGACACAAGCAGGAAGGAACUGAACUCCAGACUAGGUGCUUGUCAAAUCUAGGGUCUGAAAUCACACAAAGUGAUGGGGAAGAAAGCCCUUCUCAUGUGGAAGACACUGAGGUUCAGUAUGCAUCUCUGGGUCGGCAGAACUGGAGGGAAAGAUCGAGGGUACAGGGAGACCAGCAUCAGGUCAUCUAUUCCACUGUGGUCUCUGCUAGACCAGCAUUCCAGGGUUUGGAGAGAAUAACACAUUGAUUUGACUGAUUGACUCCUUUACAAAACAGUUCGUAUUUUACCUCUUUGUAUUACAGUUCGAGUACAUUUUACAAAGGUUGCUCUUUAAUCUUAUAAUAAAUGUAUUUGAGUCUUUCAAGAUACGCAAGAUACUAUUCUUUUAUCUAACUAAUUCUAUAUCCUGUUGGCUUAAAACAAUUAUAUUGAGAUUCUUUGGAUACAUUUUUUUUUAUUACAUUAGCUUUUUCAACAUUUACAGAAACACUCAUACAUACACAAAUCAAAAUACAAUCUUAUUUCCAUCAAGAACAGAUAUUCAGAGAACAAUGUCAGCAGAUGCACCAUGCGCCUGAAUGAACACAUUGGGCCACUGUUGUAUAGAUAACAUCUCCCUGGGCCAAUCCUGGCACUCCCUGAGCAAUGGGGCGGGCCUUACCAGUGUGCUUCAUACUGGCAUAGUGUAGACUCACUUCCUUAUGAUAUAUAUAUAUCAGUGUUAGUGAUUAAAUAUUGACUUCAUGCCAUCCAAACCUCUCAGUUAUAGAUUUACAGUUAGACAAGGUUUAGUCCUAACGAUUAUGACUAAGAGAAGUACUUUUACCUUGAGACUUGAAUUCCUGUUCACACAGGUGCUACACAAAUAUGUUUUACCUGAAAGAGGAAACAAUUCUUAGAGGCAAUCUGCAGUUCAAACAAUAACAAAUGGUUUAUCCCGCCAUUGUUUGGGUAAAUAGCUGACCAAUGGGGCUGAAGAAAUAGAACCACUCUUAAAUUCAUAGACAGCACUAUUGAUGCAAGGACUGACCAUCCAUGAGAUCAAAAUGAUAGCUUUAAUCAUGUUUUAACAACCCUGGAUUUAUAAGCGAGGAUAUCGACUACAAUGUUUUGAGAAUAUAAAAACAAGAUUAUAAAUUGGGGUUAUAAUUGGGGUUUUGAAAUCAAAAGCAUUUAAAUAACUGCAGAUUUGCAAAAGAUAAAGGGACAUUACAAAAUAAAAGUUUAAGUAAACUAUUUACAAGUCUUAAGCGUUUACAUUCACUUCUGUUUUUGCUGCUAUCAUUCAACCACAACAAUAAUGGGGAUGAUCAAGAUUUGUUCACUACAUUACAUUUUACAUUUACAUUUAAGUCAUUUAGCAGACGCUCUUAUCCAGAGCAACUUACAAAUUGGUGCAUUCACCUUAUGAUAUCCAGUGGAACAACCACUUUACAAUAGUGCAUCUAAAUCUUUUAAGGGGGGGGGGGUUAGAAGGAUUACUUUAUCCUAUCCCAGGUAUUCCUUAAAGAGGUGGGGUUUCAGGUGUCUCCGGAAGUUGGUGAUUGACUCCGCUGUCCUGGCGUCGUGAGGGAGCUUGUUCCACCAUUGGGGUGCCAGAGCAGCGAACAGUUUGGACUGGGCUGAGCGGGAACCGUGCUUCCUCAGAGGUAGGGGGGCCAGCAGGCCAGAGGUGGAUGAACGCAGUGCCCUUGUUUGGGUGUAGGGCCUGAUCAGAGCCUGAAGGUAUGGAGGUGCCGUUCCCCUCACAGCUCCGUAGGCAAGCACCAUGGUCUUGUAGCGGAUGCGAGCUUCAACUGGAAGCCAGUGGAGAGAGCGGAGGAGCGGGGUGACGUGAGAGAACUUGGGAAGGUUGAACACCAGACGAGCUGCGGCGUUCUGGAUGAGUUGUAGGGGUUUAAUGGCACAGGCAGGGAGCCCAGCCAACAGCGAGUUGCAGUAAUCCAGACGGGAGAUGACAAGUGCCUGGAUUAGGACCUGCGUCGCUUCCUGUGUGAGGCAGGGUCGUACUCUGCGAAUGUUGUAGAGCAUGAACCUACAGGAUCGGGUCACCGCCUUGAUGUUAGUGGAGAACGACAGGGUGUUGUCCAGGAUCACACCAAGGUUCUUAGCACUCUGGGAGGAGGACACAAGGGAGUUGUCAACCGUGAUGGCGAGAUCAUGGAACGGGCAGUCCUUCCCCGGGAGGAAGAGCAGCUCCGUCUUGCCGAGGUUCAGCUUGAGGUGGUGAUCCGUCAUCCACAGUGAAAUGUCUGCCAGACAUGCAGAGAUGCGAUUCACCGCCUGGUUAUCAGAAGGGGGAAAGGAGAAGAUUUAUUGUGUGUCGUCUGCAUAGCAAUGAUAGGAGAGACCAUGUGAGGAUAUGACAGAGCCAAGUGACUUGGUGUAUAGCGAGAAUAGGAGAGGGCCGCGUGGUGCGGAGACAGAUUCUCGCCACGCCACCUGGUAGGAGCGACCUGUCAGGUAGGACGCAAUCCAAGCGUGGGCUGCGCCGGAGAUGCCCAACUCGGAGAGGGUGGAGAGGAGGAUCUGAUGGUUCACAGUAUCAAAGGCAGCAGAUAGGUCUAGAAGGAUGAGAGCAGAGGAGAGAGAGUUAGCUUUAGCAGUGCGGAGAGCCUCCGUGACACAGAGAAGAGCAGUCUCAGUUGAAUGCCCAGUCUUACAUCUACACUGAGUGCCCAAAACAUUAUGAACACCUGCUCUUUCAUUUUUUACAUUUAAUCAUUUAGCAGAUGCUCUUAUCCAGAGCGACUUACAGUAGUGAAUGCAUACAUUUCAUACAUUCUUUCCCGUACUGGUCCCCCGUGGGAAUCGAACCCACAACCCUGGCGUUGCAAACACCAUGCUCUACCAACUGAGCCACACGAGACCACGCCAUAGACCGACCAGGUGAAUCCAGGCGAAAGCUAUGAUCCCUUAUUGCGUUUACCUGUUAAAUCCACUUCAAUCAGUGUAUAUGAAGGGGAAGAGACAGGUUAAAGAAGGAUUUCUAAGCCUUGAGACAUGGAUUGUGUUUGUGUGCCGUUCAGAAUGUGAAUGGACAAGACAAAAUAUUUAACUGCAUUUGAACGGGUUAGAACUGCUACUCUGCUGGGGUUUUCACGACAACAGUUUCCCGUGUGUAUCAAGAAUGGUCCACCACCCAAAGGACAUUCAGCCAACUUGACACAACUGUGGGAAGCAUUGGAGUCAACAUGGGCCAGCAUCCCUGUGGAAUGCGACCGACACCUUGUAGAUUCCACGUCCCAACGAAUUGAGGCUGUUCUGAGGGCAGAAGGGGGUGCAAGUCAAUAUUAGGAAGGUGUUCCUAAUGUUUUGUACAGUCAGUGUACGUUUACCGUACGCAAUCUUGUUUUUCCAGUCACUGCAACAGAAAGUGAAAGUAAAAAUUACAUUUCACAGCACAGUCUAUGUAUAAGUGAAAUUACAAGAGCAGACGCCUUCGUGUCUGAUCACACACGGGAAGGAUUAUUCUGCUCUCUGUGAAGUCUUCUUACUGUAAAUGUUUUCGAGAUUUCUAACUCUCACCAUGACAAACGUAAAUCUCAUCUUGGAGGCUCUGUCUGCUGUCUCAGGUUGCAAAGUGGAAUCAACCACCGCGGGAACACUUUCACUAACCCCACAGGACUUUGUCAAUGUGGUCGCACUAAAGGAGUUCUACGUACAAGAGGGCCUUCUAGAGUUGGAGUACCCAAGUUUGGGGACAUUGUCUUUAAAAGGUGCCUUAGCUUUACCAGAUGCCCCAUCCGCCGCAUCCAUUCCACAAACCACUGUUUCUGUGAACGUGAAAGAGUUUCUUGAUUCUCGGUAUGACUACGACUUUACAAAUGUUAAGGAUGGUGAAGGAGUGUUUACUCGGGGAAAGGAGCAGUACGUCCGACCCUGUGGCUGGAACCGCAUUGCCCUGAAGGUGUUGAACAAAUACAGGGAUGGAGAUGGAUGGUUGGGGACCGGAGACGAGGCCUGGCCAGUGUCCUACCACGGACCUGCUAUGGACGGAUCCCAGGGCAUCAUCAGGAAAGAUGGAGAUGGUGCUACUGUCGGAAGAGGAGUGUACUCAACACCGGACAUUAACGUAGCUGAGAAGUUCUCCAAGAGAUUCACGUCCAAAGUAGAUAACAAAACCUACAAGGUGGUGCUACAGAAUAGGAUCAACCCCCAGAAAAGGCAACAGUGUCGGAGAGAGAGUUACUGGCUGGUUUAUGUGCCUGAGGGAUCAUCUCCUGUUCAAGAGAGAGCUAUUGUGGAAAACUCCAUUCGUCCUUAUGGUCUGCUGCUUAAGGAAGUAUUGUAAUCCAGGCAGACAAUGUUUGAUAGAUAAGUAAAUAGGUUUGCCUUAAUCAUACACAAUAUGAUCAGAAAAUGAACAGAUGUAACAUCAGAUCAAUACAAUUCUAAAUCAACUAAGUAACAAGGUUAAUUUGUUAUAGUCAUAGGAUUAACAUAAGAUUGCUUGAGAUGUUUGCGGUGUAAAUGUUGCCUUUACCUGAUAGGCUACUAUUAUGCAUGUGUUCAAGUCUUAAAAUAAGAGUGCAUUGUUUAGUUACAUUAUACUUUAUUUCCAGUGACCCCGCCUUAUCUAACCACAUAUUUUCAAACAGUUGUUUUGGGAAAAGAGUGCUUUAUAAGUACAUAUAACUCCAAAAUGUAAGUUUGGACGACGCUGAAAACCACUUCACUAUUGAAAAGCUGUAGUCACAGCAACAAUACAGCAACAAUAUACUUCACUGCCACCUAGUGGUACUCUUAUGGUA